UACGUAUGUGGCAAGCGUUAUCCGGAUUUAUUGGGUGUAAAGGGCGUGUAGGCGGGAGCGCAAGUCAGAUGUGAAAACUCAGGGCUCAACCCUGAGCCUGCAUUUGAAACUGUGUUUCUUGAGUGCUGGAGAGGCAAUCGGAAUUCCGUGUGUAGCGGUGAAAUGCGUAGAUAUACGGAGGAACACCAGUGGCGAAGGCGGAUUGCUGGACAGUAACUGACGCUGAGGCGCGAAAGCGUGGGGAGCAAACAGG
Molecule: ribosomal RNA, 253 nt
Filed under: uncultured bacterium
Lineage: Bacteria
Description: partial 16S ribosomal RNA
Rfam family: Bacterial small subunit ribosomal RNA
Source: RNAcentral